GAUUAACGCUGGCGGCGUCCUAAUACAUGCAAGUCGAACGAACCUUUAUGAAAGAGAAGUCCCAUCCUUUUGGAACCUCUCCAUCGUAAACGGUUAGUGGCGGACGGGUGAGUAACACGUUGGUACCUGCCCUUUAGUGGGGAAUAACUGGCCGAAAGGUCGGCUAAUACCGCAUGUGAUCUACGGAUUAAAGCCUUCGGGCGCUAAAGGAGGGGCCUGCGUCUGAUUAGCUAGUUGGUAAGGUAAUGGCUUACCAAGGCGACGAUCAGUAGCUGGUUCGAGAGGAUGAACAGCCACACUGGGACUGAGAUACGGCCCAGACUCCUACGGGAGGCAGCAGUAAGGAAUCUUCCACAAUGGACGAAAGUCUGAUGGAGCAACGCCGCGUGCAGGAUGAAGGCUUUCGGGUCGUAAACUGCUUUUAUAUGGGAAGAUUAUGACGGUACCAUAUGAAUAAGGACCGGCUAACUACGUGCCAGCAGCCGCGGUAAUACGUAGGGUCCAAGCGUUAUCCGGAAUCACUGGGCGUAAAGCGUGUGUAGGUGGUUUGUUAAGUGAGAUGCGAAAUCUAAGGGCUCAACCCGUAGACUGUAUCUCAUACUGGCAGACUUGAGGAUGGCAGAGGCAAGUGGAAUUAUCGGUGUAGCAGUGAAAUGCGUAGAGAUCGAUAGGAACACCAAUGGCGAAGGCAGCUUGCUGGGCCACACCUGACACUCAGACACGAAAGCGUGGGGAGCGAACAGGAUUAGAUACCCUGGUAGUCCACGCCGUAAACGAUGCAUACUAUUAGUAUGGGGUAUCGACCCCCUGUGCUGAGAAGCUAACGCGAUAAGUAUGCCGCCUGGGGAGUACGAGCGCAAGCUUAAAACUCAAAGGAAUUGACGGGGACCCGCACAAGCGGUGGAUUAUGUGGUUUAAUUCGAAGCUACGCGAAGAACCUUACCAAGGCUUGACAUCCUAGGAAUCCGCUGGAAACAGUGGAGUGCCUUCGGGAACCUAGUGACAGGUGCUGCAUGGCCGUCGUCAGCUCGUGUCGUGAGAUGUUGGGUUAAGUCCCGCAACGAGCGCAACCCUUAUCGUGUGUUGAAUUUUUCACACGAGACUGCCCGGGCCAACCGGGAGGAAGGUGGGGAUGAGGUCAGGUCAGCAUGGCCCUUAUGCCUUGGGCUACACACGUAAUACAAUGGCCGGUACAACGCGUUGCCAACCCGCAAGGGGGAGCUAAUCGCAUCAAAACCGGUCCCAGUUCGGAUUGGAGGCUGCAACUCGCCUCCAUGAAGUCGGAAUCGCUAGUAAACGUGGGUCAGCAUACCACGUUGAAUACGUUCCCGGGUCU
Molecule: ribosomal RNA, 1336 nt
Filed under: uncultured bacterium
Lineage: Bacteria
Description: bacterial SSU rRNA
Rfam family: Bacterial small subunit ribosomal RNA
Source: RNAcentral